Molecule: ribosomal RNA, 253 nt
Filed under: uncultured bacterium
Lineage: Bacteria
Description: partial 16S ribosomal RNA
Rfam family: Bacterial small subunit ribosomal RNA
Source: RNAcentral
UACAGAGGUCUCAAGCGUUGUUCGGAAUCACUGGGCGUAAAGGGUGCGUAGGCCGCCCGGUAAGUCAGAGGUGAAAUCCCGGAGCUCAACUCCGGAAUGGCCUCCGAUACUGCCGUGCUUGAGGACUGGAGAGGAGUCUGGAAUUCACAGUGGAGCAGUGAAAUGCGUAGAUAUUGUGAGGAACACUAGUGGCGAAGGCGAGACUCUGGACAGUUCCUGACGCUGAGGCACGAAGGCCAGGGGAGCAAACGGG